GACCAGGUCGUCCAAUCGGCAGGACGCCGCGCGACGCGCGGAGAUGCGAGUUCGAAUCUCGCCUGGGUCU
RNAcentral lists this transfer RNA (70 nucleotides) under Minicystis rosea. Its description in RNAcentral is "tRNA-Val". It matches the Rfam family "tRNA". Rfam says of the family: Transfer RNA (tRNA) molecules are approximately 80 nucleotides in length. Their secondary structure includes four short double-helical elements and three loops (D, anti-codon, and T loops). The record is from RNAcentral. Lineage: Bacteria; Pseudomonadati; Myxococcota; Polyangiales; Polyangiaceae.